Molecule: long non-coding RNA, 2404 nt
Filed under: Homo sapiens (human)
Lineage: Eukaryota; Metazoa; Chordata; Mammalia; Primates; Hominidae
Description: TSPOAP1, SUPT4H1 and RNF43 antisense RNA 1, transcript variant 6 (TSPOAP1-AS1)
Source: RNAcentral
ACUUGUUUGUGCUCUAGGAAGUCCCCAAGAGCACAGGAGCCCAGAGACCUCGCAGGAGGAAGCAGCAGUAUCUGUGUUCCAAAUCCUGCCCAGCCCCCAGGCAGCCAUGGUAUCUUCUCAGCUGGCUCGAGGGCACACCUCCCAAAAUGCAGAGAAGGCAGGGUGGCUAGGAAUGGCUCUAGUAGAAUUCUCCCCUUAUCUUGUCUGGAAACAAGGGGCAAAGAGCUAUCUAUUUCCUCCUGCCAGCCUCCUGCCCCCAACAGGAUUCCUCACAUCCCAGGACCAGCUGGAAAAGGUGGUGAGAGUUGGAAAGAGACUGCUCAGUGAGGACUGCCCUGCGAACCAGCUUGGAUUCAUCCCGUUCACCUCCACGUUCUGCACUCGGGGCCGAGGGAAGGGAGGCAGCCCAGGCAGCUAGAGAACUUGAUGAAACACACUCAAUCUGAAUCUCGCUUGAUCGUCAUGCUGACCCAGUGAGUCUACUCAGGGUCAGGCAUCCUUUCCGACUACUCACUCAGCAGCGGAUCCCCACCCGCCUCUGACUCCCAGUGUCUUUCGGCUCCAACGUAAGUUCACCGAACGUCUAAGAGCUGAGGAUUCAAAGGCAUGUAAGACCGCCCCUGCCCUCAGCUGCAAGACCUGUCCGCGAUCCUACGAGCCCCAUUCCGCCCUCUUUCCCCGACCUUGGUCCCCCAUGGGCCCUACAACCAGGUCCCCGACUGACACCUUGACCAGCGAACACAGCAAACAGGCCCGCAGAUGCCGCAGGUCCUUCGGCACCGUCUCCAGGGCCAUCUUCGCCGAUGGGAAGAACAACAGGGAGAUAGACGACCACAGCCUGUGCACCCGCAGGAAGUAAAUAGCUCGUUACCCAGAAUGCCCACCACUUCCGGCGCUUAGACUUCCUCUUCCGGUGUGGGCGGACGCCAGCUCCGCCCCUACCCCCGCCAGAGGAGAUGGUUUCUCCCGCCAGCAGGCGGGGAGGCUGGGCGGCCGGCCGCCACCUGGGCCGGAGCGCGUCGCAGCCACCUGAGCCCGCCGAGGGCGCGGCGGAGGCUGUGUGGGGUAGUCAGCGGGCCCCCGGGGCGGGGGGGCGGCUGCGCUUGCGCGGGAGUGUGUCGGGCUGAGCCGCAGCGCCGAGACGCGGGCUGUUUGAUCUGGGCUGGUGGCCCUGGGCGUCGGUCCUGUUCCCCGAUGGUAACCCGAAGUUUGUUUUUUUUUGUUUUGUCUCCCCGUUUUAGAAGCAUUGGGGGCAGUGAAUCCACUGUCUCCCUCUGGAUUGUCUCUGCAGAGACCGAGAAGAAAUCCAGGGACAGCCCCACCCCUCCUUCCUAACUGCGAGAGCGCUAUAGGGUUUCCACUUGCUUCCCACAGGAAUGCUGGCCUGGGAGCUACGGCGGAAAAAAAUGCGUAUUUAUCUUUUAAAACUCCGUCUGUUUGCUCGUUCCGGCUGAUAAUUUAUACUUUGCGCAGUUCUUAGCGCUUAGACACGGUUCCUUUACUAAAGACCAUUUGUAGGAGAUUAGGUGUCCUUUUUUUCCCUUUCAUUUCACCGUCUAGGAAGCGAAAUGCCUUGUUCUAUAGGCACUAAACCACCACCCCUACCAAACCUUUCUCGGGGAAGCAGAAGGGGAACUUGUGCCUUGUGAGGAAGCGACAAAGGCCCCUUCUGGCCCUGGAGACUUCACGCCAAUGGAGCACCAGCUCUCUGUCCUCGCAAUAGCCCGAGUGCAGGCAGAACGCAGUCAUUUGUGUUUAUCUGAGAGGAGCUUUGGGAUAUAAAUAGUUUCAGGCCCCGCUGCGCUGUCAUUCCAGCCCAGCCUCCUGAUUGAGCUGCUUCCGGGCGGGCUUUCUUCUUGUUGGCGGUCCCAUGCUGUGUUCAGAUGGGCUCUGUGACAGGUUUGGAUGUUUUCUAUCACUGAAUAAAACUUUCCACUUUGGAACAUAUUUUCUACACUCUAUUAUCUCAUGUAAGUCCUGCAACAACUAUUAAGUAGGCCCAUUUUAUGGACUGAAAAAGCGAGGCACAGAGUAUUUGCCCAAGGUCUGAGUCACUGAAGUAUGAUAAUGUGUGAAGUGAACAGUAUAAUAAUAAUGACUGAAGCACAGUAAGAAUCCAGUCAUGCUUUCUCCUUCCCUGAUCUCACUAAGCCACACUUUUAGGGGCUUACAAACCAGUUCUUAUUGCCAAGCCCUCUACUCUACCCUAUCCUUUCAUGAAUCGGAGCCUAGCCUCUGAUAACAUAAAUAAUUUACUUCUCUUGAUGUAGAAAGAGAUGACGUUGUUACCCUGAGUGACAGUCACGACAGAACAAAACCACAAGACCAGACCACAUUUGUGGAUAAAUAUAUUAGCAAAUAAAUAUAUUUCUUAACAUAGUGCCUGAAAAAAAAAAAAAAAAAA